AUCGAUGAAGAACGCAGCGAAAUGCGAUAAGUAAUGUGAAUUGCAGAAUUCAGUGAAUCAUCGAAUCUUUGAACGCACAUUGCGCCCCCUGGUAUUCCGGGGGGCACACCUGUUCGAGCGCCAUUUCAACCCUCAAGCCCCGCUUGGUGAUGGGCCCCGCCCGCGGGCGGGCCCGAAACUCGCAGGCGCCACCCUCCGGCCUCAAGCGUAGCAAAACCCUCGCUUGGGCGCCCGGGCGGCGGCAGCCCCGAACGAAAUAUCACAAGGUUGGCCUCGGAUCAGGUGGGGAUACCCGCUGAACUUAAGCAUAUCAAUAAGCGGAGGAAAAGAAACCAACAGGGAUUACCUCAGUAACGGCGAGUGAAGCGGUAACAGCUCAAAUUUGAAAUCUGGCUCUUUCAGGGUCCGAGUUGUAAUUUGUAGAAGAUGCUUCGGGUGUGGCUCCGGUCUAAGUUCCUUGGAACAGGACGUCAUAGAGGGUGAGAAUCCCGUAUGUGACUGGCUGCCUCCGCCCAUGUGAAGCUCUUUCGACGAGUCGAGUUGUUUGGGAAUGCAGCUCAAAAUGGGUGGUAAAUUUCAUCUAAAGCUAAAUAUUGGCCAGAGACCGAUAGCGCACAAGUAGAGUGAUCGAAAGAUGAAAAGCACUUUGGAAAGAGAGUUAAACAGUACGUGAAAUUGUUGAAAGGGAAGCGCUUGCAAUCAGACUUGCGCGUUGCCGAUCAUCUGGGGUUCUCUCCAGUGCACUCGGUAGCGCUCAGGCCAGCAUCGGUUUGGGUGGUGGGAUAAAGGCCUUGGGAAUGUAGCUUCUUUCGGGGAGUGUUAUAGCCCUCGGUGCAAUGCCGCCUAUCCGGACCGAGGACCGCGCUUCGGCUAGGAUGCUGGCGUAAUGGUUGUAAGCGACCCGUCUUGAAACACGG
RNAcentral lists this ribosomal RNA (917 nucleotides) under uncultured fungus. RNAcentral describes it as "eukaryotic LSU rRNA". The stretch from base 269 to 917 matches the Rfam family "Eukaryotic large subunit ribosomal RNA", at positions 1 to 664 of the family's 3401-position model. Lineage: Eukaryota; Fungi. The record is from RNAcentral.